This 253-nucleotide ribosomal RNA is filed under the name uncultured bacterium. RNAcentral's name for it is "partial 16S ribosomal RNA". It matches the Rfam family "Bacterial small subunit ribosomal RNA", at positions 524 to 776 of the family's 1533-position model. The record is from RNAcentral.
UACAGAGGGUGCAAGCGUUGUCCGGAAUCACUGGGCGUAAAGGGCGCGUAGGUGGCCUGAUAAGUAGGGGGUGAAAUCCUGGGGCUUAACCUCAGGGCUGCCUUCUAGACUGUCCGGCUUGAGCGCAGUAGAGGCAGGUGGAAUUCCCGGUGUAGUGGUGAAAUGCGUAGAUAUCGGGAGGAACACCAGUGGCGAAGGCGACUACCUGGCCUGUUCUUGACGCUGAGGCGCGAAAGCUAGGGGAGCAAACGGG